Small nuclear RNA from Jaculus jaculus (lesser Egyptian jerboa), 102 nucleotides. The record is from Ensembl. NCBI's taxonomy places the organism in Eukaryota, Metazoa, Chordata, Mammalia, Rodentia, Dipodidae.
GAAAAGGGCUUCUGUUGUGAGUGGCACACAUAGGGUAAUUCAGUUGCUCUCUGUGUGGAAUCAACGUCAAGAGAUUUCGGAAGCAAAAAAUAAAUAAAAUCU